GACGAACGCUGGCGGCGUGCUUAACACAUGCAAGUCGAGCGGAAAGGCUCCUUCGGGGGUACUCGAGCGGCGAACGGGUGAGUAACACGUGAGUAAUCUGCCUCUGGCUUCGGGAUAGCCCUCCGAAAGGGGGAUUAAUACCGGAUAUGACCAGCUACUGCAUGGUGGUUGGUGGAAAGUUUUUUCGGCCAGGGAUGUGCUCGCGGCCUAUCAGCUUGAUGGUGGGGUAAUGGCCUACCAUGGCUUCGACGGGUAGCCGGCCUGAGAGGGUGACCGGUCACACUGGGACUGAGACACGGCCCAGACUCCUACGGGAGGCAGCAGUGGGGAAUAUUGGACAAUGGGCGGAAGCCUGAUCCAGCAACGCCGCGUGAGGGAUGACUGCCUUCGGGUUGUAAACCUCUUUCAGUACCGACGAAGCGAAAGUGACGGUAGGUACAGAAGAAGCACCGGCCAACUACGUG
This 464-nucleotide ribosomal RNA is filed under the name uncultured organism. Its description in RNAcentral is "bacterial SSU rRNA". It matches the Rfam family "Bacterial small subunit ribosomal RNA", at positions 28 to 507 of the family's 1533-position model. The record is from RNAcentral.